RNAcentral lists this transfer RNA (145 nucleotides) under Candidatus Woesearchaeota archaeon. Its description in RNAcentral is "tRNA-Val". Lineage: Archaea; Nanobdellati; Candidatus Woesearchaeota. The record is from RNAcentral.
GGGCUCGUGGUCUAGCGGCUACGCGCUGGGAUUCCCUGGUGGGAAUUGGCUGGCUUACAGCUGGCGCCGUAGAUGACAGCGCCCUUACAAGGCGUUAAUCCCCGGUUCGAGACAGAUGAUAUUUGCGAAAUUCCGGGCGGGCCCA